GACGAACGCUGGCGGCGUGCCUAAUACAUGCAAGUAGAACGCUGAAGGAGGAGCUUGCUUCUCUGGAUGAGUUGCGAACGGGUGAGUAACGCGUAGGUAACCUGCCUGGUAGCGGGGGAUAACUAUUGGAAACGAUAGCUAAUACCGCAUAAGAGUAGAUGUUGCAUGACAUUUGCUUAAAAGGUGCAAUUGCAUCACUACCAGAUGGACCUGCGUUGUAUUAGCUAGUUGGUGAGGUAACGGCUCACCAAGGCGACGAUACAUGGCCGACCUGAGAGGGUGAUCGGCCACACUGGGACUGAGACACGGCCCAGACUCCUACGGGAGGCAGCAGUAGGGAAUCUUCGGCAAUGGACGGAAGUCUGACCGAGCAACGCCGCGUGAGUGAAGAAGGUUUUCGGAUCGUAAAGCUCUGUUGUAAGAGAAGAACGAGUGUGAGAGUGGAAAGUUCACACUGUGACGGUAUCUUACCAGAAAGGGACGGCUAACUACGUG
This 495-nucleotide ribosomal RNA is filed under the name uncultured bacterium. RNAcentral's name for it is "partial 16S ribosomal RNA". It matches the Rfam family "Bacterial small subunit ribosomal RNA", at positions 28 to 507 of the family's 1533-position model. The record is from RNAcentral.